CCUACGGGUGGGCAGCAGUGGGGAAUAUUGGACAAUGGGCGAAAGCCUGAUCCAGCCAUGCCGCGUGUGUGAAGAAGGCCUUCGGGUUGUAAAGCACUUUCAGUGGGGAAGAAAGCCUUGGGGCUAAUACCCUCGAGGAAGGACAUCACCCACAGAAGAAGCACCGGCUAACUCCGUGCCAGCGGCCGCGGUAAUACGGAGGGUGCGAGCGUUAAUCGGAAUUACUGGGCGUAAAGCGCGCGUAGGCGGUCUGAUAAGCCGGUUGUGAAAGCCCCGGGCUCAACCUGGGAACGGCAUCCGGAACUGUCAGGCUAGAGUGCAGGAGAGGAAGGUAGAAUUCCCGGUGUAGCGGUGAAAUGCGUAGAGAUCGGGAGGAAUACCAGUGGCAAAGGCGGCCUUCUGGACUGACACUGACGCUGAGGUGCGAAAGCGUGGGUAGCAAACAGGAUUAGAUACCCUUGUAGUC
Molecule: ribosomal RNA, 466 nt
Filed under: Vreelandella stevensii
Lineage: Bacteria; Pseudomonadati; Pseudomonadota; Gammaproteobacteria; Oceanospirillales; Halomonadaceae
Description: partial 16S ribosomal RNA
Rfam family: Bacterial small subunit ribosomal RNA
Source: RNAcentral